RNAcentral lists this transfer RNA (71 nucleotides) under Paraisaria gracilis. RNAcentral describes it as "tRNA-Arg". It matches the Rfam family "tRNA". Rfam says of the family: Transfer RNA (tRNA) molecules are approximately 80 nucleotides in length. Their secondary structure includes four short double-helical elements and three loops (D, anti-codon, and T loops). Lineage: Eukaryota; Fungi; Ascomycota; Sordariomycetes; Hypocreales; Ophiocordycipitaceae. The record is from RNAcentral.
ACGGAUAUAGGUUAAAGGUAGACUUAUCGAUUUCGAUUCGAGGUGUGUCAGUUCAAAUCAGACUAUCCGUA